ACGACCAAUGAGAACGGCCUGCAGGGGGCGCAAGGAUUCACUUCUCUCUUGGACACUGACGGGUCUCGACACGCAAAUUCUGCUCCUGGUAAUUGCGUUGGCCGUCAGUGGAAGAGCGUAGCUUCGGUGGGGUUCUGUCUGUCUGCCUCUGAUGGGGUGCGGAUGUGUGGUUCGUCACUGGUGAAUGGUGUUCGACGAUGCAGGUGGAUUUUGUGACGAGCGGAUUUACAAUGAGGGAAUGCUGUGAACGGGAAAAAUGAUGAGCUGUCCUAACUUGCCCAGACAUGUCAUGAUGACGUCACAGCUGACGUCACAGGAUGUCCGGAACUGGUGGUCAUAGCUGUGAUGCUUUGCAACCUGCCUCCGUGCUCCGUCGCCCAGCGACAGUCAGCGGCCGUUCCGGACGGCUUCCUUCAAGAUGGCGUCGUUGAUCUUCAACGAAACUCCUUCUCUCCACUCUAUCUCUAUCUAUUUUUUUAUUUUUAUCAGCUCAACUAGCCCACAACUCACACAGUGGUCUGGACACGUCCUAGACGCUCCCCAAUUAGUGUAAUGACUCCCUGAGUUAUCCUGAUUAAUGUGGGGGUCCCAAUUAGCUCUAAUUGCUCAUUAAUGGCGUCCAGGCCACUGUGUGAGUUGUGGGCCAGUUGAGCUGAUCAUAUACUACUGUCAUUCUCGUUGAUUUUUGCAAUGAAACCAUUUUAGGAUAAAAAAACACUUGUCAAGGUGUAAGCUAUGAAAAGUAGUUAAUUGAGUGAGGCAUUUGAAAUUGCCUUUCUUCCUUUAUAUUUUCAAUGCUGACAUACCUCAGCUUGUGUAACUGUCUACCUGGGCUAUUGCAGCCAAAACCAGCCAGGGAUGUAGCCUGACUCUCUUGAAUAUCACUGAAAAAAAUUGUGUGCAUUUUUUAGACGAUGCAUAUAUCGAAUGUAAAUCAUCAUUUUGUUUUCUUGAACAAUGGGGGCACAUUAAACUGUGCCGAAAUA
Molecule: long non-coding RNA, 986 nt
Organism: Ornithodoros turicata
Lineage: Eukaryota; Metazoa; Arthropoda; Arachnida; Ixodida; Argasidae
Exons: 2
Source: RefSeq, a predicted model, not a curated record